CUCUACGUGACGGUUUUCCCUGAGGUCCUUGGGUCUUGGGCUGCCGUUGUAAGGCGUUCCCAUCGCGUCUGCGUCUGCGUCUGCGUCUGCGGUCUUCUCCGGGCAUUCCUCGGGUGUCGUGCCUGCGUCCGUCACGCGCGGUGGCUCGCAGGGGCACACCACCCAGGGCGUUGGCGGGCUCUGGUCGGGGGGAGCCCUACACCUGCGGCAGCCUUAACGGGGAACCUGUCAGAGACAAGGGCUGACAUGGGCAGCGAGUCUUGUAGACUCAUUUGCGUUCUGAAUUCUGGUGGGGGUAGUGAUGGACACUGUCCCAGUUCACAGAAUUCUUUGGCUGGGAAAAAAAUCAAGGUGAACUAAAGAAAAUGAGCGUUGGCCCAAGGAGAUAGAAGAUGGGGAAGGUGAGAUGUGAGAAGAUAAGGACAAUGGCAGUAGAGACGAGAAGAAUGGCAGGAAGAAUGCUACUGCCCCAGGAAAGGAAGUAGGGGAGGAAAAGUCUCUGGCUCCUGUGUUUGCUGAGAAGUUAAUAUCACCAAGCAGGAGGGGAGCCAAGCUCAAGGACCAUGAGAGCCAUCAGGAGAUUGAAGACAGGAACAGUGAGUUGGACCAGGAUGAGGAAGCUAAAACCCUUCUCCAGGGGGUUCUUGGCGAGUGUAGAUCAAAGUGCCAAAACACUUUUGAUCAAGAACGUGCCUGACAGAGUCACUCAACAUGAAUUAAAAGAAGUAUUUGAGGAUGCUUUUCAAAUCAGAUUAGUGAGCAAGGAUGAGAUGAGUGAAAGAUGGAGUUUCAUUAUUGUUGCCUAGGCUAGAGUGUAGUGGUGAGGGUCUCAGCUCACUGCAGCCUCUGCCUCCCAGGUUCAAACGAUUCUCGUGCCUCAGCCUCCCAAGUAGCUGGGAUUACAGGUACUCGCUACCACACUGGCUUUUUUUUUUGUAUUUUUAACAGAGACAGGGUUUCACCAUAUUGGCCAGGCUGCUCUUGAACUCCUGACCUCAGGUGAUCCACCCGCCUUGGCCUCCCAAAGUGCUGGGAUUAUUGGCGUGAGCCAUUGCGCCCAGCCUGAAUAUUGGUUUUAUAGACACAUUUGAGCUAAAUGUGUUGGUGUAGGUGAACUCUAAAAUAAUCUGUAGCAUUGUGUUCUGAUGAACCUAAUCUCUAGAGAGGAUACUACAGAUCUAACAAGCCUAAGACAGAACUAUAUAUAUUGACCUGGAAAGCCAUGAUAAAUAUAGGAAAGCAAAUCUCAAAAGAAUAAAUUCCAAAUUGUUAGCAGUGUUUACCAGGAGGAGAUUUGGGAGCACUCUGCUUGUUGUCUCUGGAAAACAAGCAAACAGAUUUCUGCCAAAAGCUAUAUAAUUUGUCAAGGUUUAAUUAGGUUUUAAUUAAAUUAAUUUAAUUUUUAUAUCUUUAUAGUCAUUUCCGUGCAUGGAGAAUUAUCAUAUCACUUCUCAGCCUUUUGGCUAAGGUCAAGUGUAGUAUCUGUUCUCAAUUUAAUAUCUGAUAUGUCCUAAAUUAAAAACAAACAAAAAAAAGAAUUAUUGUAAAGGGGAGAUAAGAGAAGCCAGAGAAUCCAUGGCCAUGCGAAAUAAGGCCUAGUCCCUAUGCCAGAAGAGAGUGUGCUGCAUGAUCCUUAAGAAUCUGACUCAGGCCAGACUUGGUGGCGCACUCCUGUAAUCCUGGCACUUUGGGAGGCUGAGGCAGGCAGAUCACCUGAGGUCAGGAGUUCGAAACCAGCCUGGCCAACAUGUUGAAACCCUGUCUCUACUAAAAAUACAGAAAAUUAGCUGGACAUGGUGGUGGGCACCUGUAAUCCCAGCUACUCGGGAGGUCGAGGCAGGAGAAUCACUUGAACCCAGGAGCUGUAGGUUGCAGUGAGCCGAGAUUGCGCUGUUGCACUUCAGCCUGGGCAACGAGCAAAACUCCAUGUCAAAAAAAAAAAAAAAAAGGGAGAGAGACAUUCUUUGCCAAGAGUCGCCACAGUUUCCUGCUUCAGUGCUUGGAUGGAACCCAGCGCUCGUCCCCCAUCCUGGCCAGCCACCCAUAGCCAGCCCUCCGUCACCUCCACACUGCGCCCUUGGACUGCCCGAAGGCCCCCUCUGCCACUCCAGCACCACACAGCCACCACCUCUCCUUACCCGCCACCAUGAUGACCACUUCCUCCUUGCAGGUGCGCCAGAACUAUCCCCAGGACUCAGAGGACACCAUCAACUGCCAGAUAACCUGGAGCUCUAUGCCUCCUGUGUCUACCUGUCCAUGUCUUACUACUUUGACCAUGAUGAUGUGGUUUGAAGAACUUUGCCAGAUACUCUUCACCAAUCUCAUGAGGAGAGGCAACAUGCUGAGAAACUGAUGAAGCUGCAGAACCAAUGAGGUGGCCAAAUCUUCCUUCAGGAUAUCAGGAAACCAGACAAUGUUGACUGGGAGAGUGGGCUGAAUGAGAUGGAGUGUGCAUUACAUUUGGAAAAAAAUAUGAAUCAGUCACUACUGGAACUGUACAAACUGGCCACUGACAAAAAUGACCCCCAUUUGUGUGACUUCAUUAAGAGAUAUUACCUGAAUGAGCAGGUGACAUCCAUCAAACAAUUGGGUGACCACGUGACCAACUUGGGCAAGAUGGGAGCAUCCCAGUCUGACUUGGCAGAAUAUCUCUUUGACAAGCACACCCUGGGAGACAAUGAUAAUGAAAGCUAAGCCUUAGGCUGAUUUCCCCAUAGCCAUGGGGUGACUUCCCUCGUCACCAUGGCAGUGCAUGCAUGUUGGGGUUUCCUUUACCUUUUCUAUAAGUUGUAUCAGACAUCCACUUAAGUUCUUUGUACAAUUCCUUCAAAUAAAGUACCCUCCCCCCCAAAAAAAAGAAAAAGAAUUUUCUUUUAAACAUAAGAAAACUACUCAUCCUCACUCAUAGUAAGAGGAUUGCAAAUGAAAUCUACAUUGAGAUACAACUUUUUACCUAUCAGGUAGUCACAGAUCAAAAGGUUUAUUAACACAGUGGAAAAGAGGGUAAAAAAACUGGCAUGCUCGCCGGGCACAGUGGCUCAUGCAUGUAAUCCCAGUACGUAGGGAGGCCGAGGCGGGCAGAUCACCUGAGGUCGAGAGUUCAAGAUCAGCCUGACCAACAUGGAGAAACCCCAUUUCUACUAAAAAUACAAAAAUUAGCUGGGCAUGGUGGCGCACACCUGUAAUCCCAGCUACUCGGGAGGCUGAGGCAGGAGGAUGGCUUGAACCCAGGAGGCAGAGCUUGCAGUGAGCUAAGAUUGAGCCGUUGUACUCCUACCUGAGCAACAAGAGCAAAACUCAGUCUUAAAAAAAAAAAAAGUGGCAAGCUCAUACUUUGUUAUUGGAAGUGAAAUUGGAGAAAUUUCUAUGGAGAUUAGGUACUUAGCUCUAUCUGUUAAAGUUAUAGUUGCAAAUACCAUUUUAUCUUGCUCCUCCUAAGAAUUUAUCCCAUAAUCUCAGACAAGAGUGAAAUAACGUAUUGCCAAGUUGUUUGAUGCAAAAUUAGAAUUAACCUGAAUAUCAAGCAACAGGUGGUUAAAAUUGUCUGGCAGAUCCAUAAGAUAUUAUUCUAUAUAGCUGUAAAAAGGAGUGAAAUUACAUUUUGUAUAGUGAUGGGAAAUAAUCUCUAGUAUACAUUAUUAAGUGAAAAAAGACAGUAUAGAAUAGUGUGUAUAGUAUUCUGCCUUUUAUGUAAAAAUGUAAUGGAGAACACAGUGUACACAAAAAAUUACUCAACAUGGAUCAAAGACCUAAAUGUAAGAGCUAAAACAUAAAAUUCUUAGAAGAAAACACGGCAAUAAAACUUUGUACACAAGUGAUUAAAGAAAAUUGAGAAAUUGGGCUUAAUCAAAAUUAAAAAUGUUUGUGUUUCAAAGGCCAUUUUUAAAAAGUCAAAGAAAAUCUGUAGACUGGCUGUGCACAGUGGCUCACACCUGUAAUCCCAGCAUUUUGGGAGGUCAUGGUGGAUAAAUCAUGAGGUCAAGAGAUCAAGACCAUCCUGGCCGACAUGGUGAAACUCUGCCUCUAUUAAAAAUACAAAAAUUAACUGGGCGUGGUGGCAUGCGCCUGUAGUCCGAGCUACUCAGGAGGCUGAGGCAGGAGAAUCGCUUGAACCCAAGAGGCAGAGGUUGCAGUAAGCCGAGAUCGCGCCAUUGCACUCCAGCCUGGCAACAGAGCAAGACUCCGUCUCAAAAAUAAAAAAUAAAAAUACAAAAUUAGCUGGGUGUGGUGGUGUGUGCCUGUAAUCUCAGCUAAUUGGGAGACUGAAGCAGAAGAAUCACUUAAACCUUGGAGGUGGAGGUUGCAGUGAGCCAAGAUUGCUCCAUUGCCCUCCAGCUUGGGCAACAAGAGUGAAAAUCUGUCUGAAUAAAAAAAAAAAAAGGAAAUCUAUAGACUGGAAGAAAAUAGUUGCAAAUCAUAUAUCUGACAAGGGACUUGUGUCCAAAUAUAUAAAGAACUCAUAUUUUAAUUCAAUAAAAAGGCAACCCAGUUAAGAAAUGGGCAAAGGAUUUGAAUGUGAACAUUUCUCCAAGCAAGGCAUAUGAAUGGCCAGUAAGCACAUGAAAAGAUGCUCACCAUUUGUUGCUGGGGAAAUACAAAUCAAAACCAUGAUGUGAUAUACUUCACAUUCAUUAGAAUGUCUAUAACAAAGAAGGUAAAUAGUCACAAGUGUUGACAAGGAUGUGGAAAAGUUGGAGCCCUCAUAUGUUGCUGGUGGGAAUUUAAAAUAAUAUAGUUGCUUUGGAAAAGUUUGACAGUUUCUGAAAAUGUUAAACAUAGAGUUGCCAUAUGGUCCAGCAAUUCUCUUAAGUAUCUACCUCAAAGAAAUGAAAACACAUGUUCACACUUUUCUACAAAUGUUCACGUCAGCAUUAUUUAAUAGUCAAAAAGUAGAAAUGACCCCAAAAUUCUAUCGGUUGAUGGAUUGAUAAAGUAUGGUAUGUCCUUCCAUAUAUGACAUGUCCAGGAUAGCCAGAUCUUUACAGACUGAAACUAGAGCAGUAGUUGCUUGUGGCUGGGAGUGAGAAUGGGUUGGGGGGAAUGCGGAGUGACUGCUGAUGGGUACUUUUGGGGACAAGAAAAAUGUUCCAAAGUUGGUUUACAAUGAUGAUUGUACAGUUGUGUAAAUGUAUUAGAAACCAUUGUAAACUUUAAAUAGGUGAAUAUUAUGAUACGUUAAUUAUAUCAAGCUUUUUGAGAA
Molecule: RNA transcript, 5200 nt
Organism: Callithrix jacchus (white-tufted-ear marmoset)
Lineage: Eukaryota; Metazoa; Chordata; Mammalia; Primates; Cebidae
Gene name: nucleolin
Source: RefSeq, a predicted model, not a curated record